GGUCAAGUUAAAAAGAGCACUAGGUGAAUGCCUAGGCACCAAGAGGCGAAGAAGGACGCGACAAGCUGCGAAAAGCUACGGAGAGGAGCAAAUAUCCUAUGACCCGUAGAUAUCCGAAUGGGGAAACCCACCUCGUAAGAGGUAUCCUAUAGCCAAUUCAUAACUAUAGGAAGCGAACCAGGUGAACUGAAACAUCUAAGUAACCUGAGGAAAAGAAAGAAAACUCGAUUCCCUAAGUAGCGGCGAGCGAACGGGGAAGAGCCCGAUGUGUAUAAAGAGACAAUAGCCAGCCAAAUAAUCUGGGAAGAUUAACCAAAGAAGGUAAGAGUCCUGUAGACGAAAGCGAAGAUAUCCGACACAAAAGAGUACCACGGAACACGAGAAAUUCAGUGGGAAUAUGGGGGGACCACCCCCUAAGGCUAAAUACUACUUGGUGACCGAUAGCGAACAAGUACCGUGAGGGAAAGGUGAAAAGAACCCCGUGAGGGGAGUGAAAUAGAAUCUGAAACCUAGUGUUUACAAGCAGCGAAAGUGGUUUUGCACCACGAUCGUGUACUUUUUGUAGAACGGGCCAGCGAGUUACGAUUACUAGCGAGGUUAAGCAUUAAAGAUGCGGAGCCGAAGCGAAAGCGAGUCUAAAUAGGGCGGAAGUUAGUGGUUGUAGACCCGAAACCGUGUGAUCUAUCCAUGAGCAGAGUGAAGUUGAAGUAAAAUUCAAUGGAGGCUCGAACCGGGUAACGUUUAAAAGUUAUCGGAUGACUUGUGGAUAGGGGUGAAAAGCCAAACGAACACGGAGAUAGCUGGUUCUCCUCGAAAUAGCUUUAGGGCUAGCCUCUAGUAAGACAUGAAAAGGGGGUAGAGCACUGAUUGGUCAAGGGGCAUGCAUAUGUUACCAAGACCUAUCAAACUCCGAAUACCAUAUCAUGCACUAGGGAGUCAGACUAUGUGGGAUGAGCUUCAUAGUCGAAAGGGAAAGAGCCCAGACCAUCAGCUAAGGUCCCAAAAUUAUAGUUAAGUGGGAAAGGAUGUGGAGUUACUGAGACAACUAGGAUGUUGGCUUAGAAGCAGCCACUCAUUUAAAGAGUGCGUAAUAGCUCACUAGUCAAGUGACUCUGCGCCGAAGAUAACCGGGGCUAAACUAUAUACCGAAGCUAUGGAACGUAUAACGUUGGUAGAGGAGCAAUGUAUGAAGGACGAAGCAGAAGCCGUAAGGCACUGUGGACAUCAUACAAGAGAGAAUGCUGGCAUGAGUAGCGAGAGGUGAGUGAGAAUCUCACCCGUCGAAAACCCAAGGAUUCCUGAGCAAGGCUCGUCCACUCAGGGUAAGUCGGGACCUAAGGCGAGGCUGAAAAGCGUAGUCGAUGGACAACAGGUGGAAAUUCCUGUACCGAUACAAUCAUUAAAGGAAGUGGGGACGCAGAAGGAUAAUAAGAGCGCCCAGUUGGUGAGGCGUGCAAGCGCAAAGGAUGGAAAGUAGGCAAAUCCGCUUUCCGAGAAGUCUGAAGCGUAAUGCGGAUCGAAAACAAGUAGAGAAGCUUAUGACUCCACACUGCCAAGAAAAGCCACUACUAGAGAAGUAUCGCCCGUACCGUAAACCGACACAGGUAGGUGAGGAGAGAAUCCUAAGACGAGCGGAAAAACCUUUGUUAAGGAACUCGGCAAAAUGACCCCGUAACUUCGGGAGAAGGGGAGCCCCUGUAAAAGGGGGCCGCAGUGAAAAGGCCCAAGCGACUGUUUACCAAAAACACAAGUUUCUGCUAAGUCGAAAGACGAAGUAUAGGAGCUGACACCUGCCCGGUGCUGGAAGGUUAAGGGAAAAAGUUAGCGUAAGCGAAGCUUAGAACUGAAGCCCCAGUAAACGGCGGCCGUAACUAUAACGGUCCUAAGGUAGCGAAAUUCCUUGUCGGGUAAGUUCCGACCCGCACGAAAGGUGUAACGAUUUGGG
RNAcentral lists this ribosomal RNA (1945 nucleotides) under Clostridium sp. RNAcentral's name for it is "partial 23S ribosomal RNA". It matches the Rfam family "Bacterial large subunit ribosomal RNA", at positions 1 to 2013 of the family's 2925-position model. The record is from RNAcentral. Lineage: Bacteria; Bacillati; Bacillota; Clostridia; Eubacteriales; Clostridiaceae.